Molecule: ribosomal RNA, 254 nt
Filed under: uncultured bacterium
Lineage: Bacteria
Description: partial 16S ribosomal RNA
Rfam family: Bacterial small subunit ribosomal RNA
Source: RNAcentral
UACGUAGGGGCCUAGCGUUGUCCGGAAUUAUUGGGCGUAAAGAGCUCGUAGGCGGUUCGGCAAGUCGGAUGUGAAAUCUCCACGCUCAACGUGGAGGGGCCAUUCGAAACUGCCGUGACUCGAGUCCGGUAGGGGAGUGUGGAAUUCCCGGUGUAGCGGUGAAAUGCGCAGAUACCAGGAGGAACACCGGUGGCGAAGGCGGAUCUCUGGGCCAUUACUGACGCUGAGGAGCGAAAGCGUGGGGAGCGAACAGG